GAGUUUGAUCUUGGCUCAGAUUGAACGCUGGCGGCAGGCCUAACACAUGCAAGUCGAGCGGAUGACGGGAGCCUGCUCCUUGAUUCAGCGGCGGACGGGUGAGUAAUGCCUGGGAAUCUGCCUGGUAGUGGGGGACAACGUUUCGAAAGGAACGCUAAUACCGCAUACGUCCUACGGGAGAAAGCAGGGGACCUUCGGGCCUUGCGCUAUCAGAUGAGCCUAGGUCGGAUUAGCUAGUUGGUGGGGUAAUGGCUCACCAAGGCGACGAUCCGUAACUGGUCUGAGAGGAUGAUCAGUCACACUGGAACUGAGACACGGUCCAGACUCCUACGGGAGGCAGCAGUGGGGAAUAUUGGACAAUGGGCGAAAGCCUGAUCCAGCCAUGCCGCGUGUGUGAAGAAGGUCUUCGGAUUGUAAAAGCACUUUAAAGUUGGGAGGAAGGGCAGUAAGUUAAUACCUUGCUGUUUUGACGUUACCGACAGAAUAAAGACACCGGCUAACUCUGUGCCAGCAG
This 514-nucleotide ribosomal RNA is filed under the name bacterium enrichment culture clone ALO1_GLFRUDD03GCL2S. Its description in RNAcentral is "bacterial SSU rRNA". It matches the Rfam family "Bacterial small subunit ribosomal RNA", at positions 9 to 514 of the family's 1533-position model. The record is from RNAcentral.